GGGGGUAUAGCUCAGUGGAAGAGUGCAUGCUAAGCAUGCACAAGAUCCUGGGUUCAAUCCCCAGUACCCCCA
Molecule: transfer RNA, 72 nt
Organism: Camelus ferus (Wild Bactrian camel)
Lineage: Eukaryota; Metazoa; Chordata; Mammalia; Artiodactyla; Camelidae
Rfam family: tRNA
About the family: Transfer RNA (tRNA) molecules are approximately 80 nucleotides in length.
Source: Rfam